UUUGAUGAAGUAUAAAGUGGUGAAGUAUGAAGAGUGUUAAGUAUAUAAAGUGUCUUCCGUGUUUCUUGGGCAUUACUGUUAACAUACUUGAAGGUUACCUAACUAACAGGUACUAGAGGAGUUGUUUACUGGAGACCUGAAAACCGUAAAUAAAUUCAGUUCGUAUCGAGACGCCUCUCCUCCACCGUUGCCAGAUUAUCGUACUCAGAGCCUCGUAUUUACCGGUUUCCGAGUCAUAGCUAUUGCCAGAAAACACCAAUAAUUAACCAUUUUAACGAUAACCAUAUAUGGAGGCAGUUAUCUGGGUGAUGAAAGCAGUUUUGGGGUCGGAAAUCGGCAAACAUAAGAGGCAGAGUACGACAUCCGGCAACGUUGCUCUCCUCCCGAAAUUGACUUCUCAUUCGGCCACUCUUUUGAACUCUUUUUUAUAGGGGCAGUGAUUAGGUUUUUUUUCUCAUUACUAUUAUUAUUAUUUGCCCUUGACCUGUUUCCUUCACUGUAAAAAAUAAUCAGCCAGUCAAUGUAUGUACAAUCUACCUGCUUAUCUAUGCAUUUACCUGUUAAUUAGUCAGUCUCUCUAUCUCGCUAUCUCUCUCUGUCUCUAUCUGUCUGUUAAUCAUUCAGACAGCCAAUUACUCGCUCCCUGUAUGUCUCUAUGAACCUACUUAUAUAUGCAUCCAUCAGUUAAUUAGUCAGUCUAUCUCCCUCUCUAUCUGUCUAUCUAUCUGUCUAUCUAUCUGUCAAUUAAUCAUUCAGACAGCCAAUUACUCGCUCCCUGUAUGUCUCUAUGAACCUACUUAUCAGUGCAUUUAUCAGUUAACAAGUCAGUCUAUCUCCCUCUCUAUCUGUCUAUCUAUCUGUCUAUUAAUCAUUCAGACAGUAAAUGUAUGUACCUAUCUACCUAUUUAUCUAUGCAUUAAUCAGCCAGUUAAUUUAUCCAUCGAUCUGCUUGCCUAUUAACCAUUCAGAGUCAGCAAUCCAAUACUCUUCAAAAAGCUGUGCUCUCAAGACAUACUUCCUCCCUUAAGACAGCCGCUGGACACGUAUUCCCGAUAAUUAUAAGGCCUGCUUGCGUGAGAAAGUUUGUGUACCGCUUCAAUAUUUUACGACGAAGACGACAAUUCCUCACCCGCGACUCAACACACAGACAGACGUUAUGUAGCUAUCGUCUUGGGGAAUAACAACACAAAGACAACACUAACACAACGAAACACAGGGAAAAAGAAAUCAUUACAACGAGGAAAUAGUGUACAUAUCACCUUUGUAGUUAGUUGCUCGCGCGCACACACAUACCCACCCCCCACACACCCUUGCUUUGCUUCUACUGACAGUAUUAAUAGAGAAAGGAUCAAUAGAGGGCAUUACACUCCGAGCCUUGCGUGACAGGGUGAAGGAGACACUAUUUUUUAUACUGGAUUUUUUGGUGUUCGCGUGCCGGCAAUACUAACAGAGAGGCGGUAGCUGUAGGGGCGGGGAGAGUGUCAGUUACGGGAAUGUCUGCCAGUGUCAUCGUAACUUGGGAUAAACAAGUGAGUGAAUGGCAUUAAUAACUUGUGUAGGAAGCGAAAAGUUACUAAAAAGGUUGGUAAUGUAAUCGUAACUUAUGCUAACCAAGAAAGAGAGUGGCAUUAAUAACUUGUGUAGGAAGCAAGAAAGUUAAGAGAAAGGUUGGUAAUGUAAUCCCAACUUAUAACAACCAAUAAGUGGGUGGCAUUAACUGUAUUUAUAGGAAACGAGAGAAAGUUAAAGAAUUGGAUUGUAAUGUAAUUCUAACUUAUAAAACCAAGUGAGUGGCAUGUAUAGGAGCAAGUUGUUUGUAUAGGAUGCGGAAGAAAGUUAAAGGAUAGGUCUGUAAUGUAAUCCUAACUUAUAAAACCAAAUGACUGGCAUUAAGUACAUGUUUAAGGAGCGAGAGAAACUUACACGAAUAGUUGCCAAUGUAAUCUUAACUUAUAACCAAGAGAGUGAGUGGCAUUUACUUAUAAGCGGAGAGAGGUAAACGUAGGGAAAAAGUUGCUAAUCUAAUUGUACCUUUAAGAUAAGCAAUAUAUGGGAGUGACUAUAGUCUUCCAAAUAUGUCGAGGCCGGUCUGGCGUUGGCUCCCGCGGGUCCUUUCCUCCCCUCUGCUCUGCCACACAGUCCCAACACCUAUCUCUUCCUCUCAUAUGUAAGCUAUAGGUAACAUAUGAGAGGAAAAAAUAGGUGUUGGGGCUGUGUGGCAGAGCAGAGGGGAGGAAAGGACCCGCGGGAGCCAACGCCAAAACGGACUCGACAAUUUGGUUUCACUAUAGCGAGAUGUGAUAAACUUGCGAAACGGUUGCCAAUGUAUCGUAGUUAAUGAUAUGUAAAAUAAUGCCCUGUGAUUGGGUUCUGGCACUUGUCUCCCUAUGAUAUCUCUACGCCGUUGUUGCUGAAGUGGGAGAUAAGUUAGCCAGUUUGUACGCAUCGCUCCAAUUUGUACCAGGAAAAUUAGAUGGUGUUGUGAGACGCUUCCGGCCCUCACAUCAACCGUUUCCAAAGGGCCAAAAAGGAGAUCAGUCGGGUUAUAAUGAGUGUUUUUUUGGGUUCAUGGUGCAGAAGAAGGCUCAAACUAUCAGAAGGGGAAAAAAAUCACUCAUGGAAAGGCCUAUAACUCCUGUAUACGAAAGCCUUGUCAAAUGAGUGUUAAGAAUACGGACCCAGGCUACUUCUGAGAUCCGAGUUGUUAAAAUGUUAUGUUGUUAAGAUGAUUGGUCAAAGGUAUAUAAUUUUGACAUUAGUUCAUUUUCAGACAUCAGACUAACUUUCCCGAGUGAUUACAGGAGCCGAGAUAUGAUAAUGUUAUGCUACCAAGAUAACGAUAAAGAUAAAGAUAACUUCUGGCAUUAGUUCAUUUUCACAUCUCAGUCUAUACGCCGGAGUAAUUUCUGACCUGGUGUGAACAGUAAUUGCAAUAAAGCGUACAGAUUAGCGAACAAACCCUAAAUAAGAAGGCCAUACUAACGUUGAGGCAUUGGGGAAAGCAAGCACGAUAGAAAUAUAGGAUGUAAUGCAUUGUAAAGACUCGUGUUCUGAGCAUUACCUGCAACACAGAUCCACAUUCUCGGACGCUUUCGGCUCACAACAAAUUCUUCCAAAGGCCACAAUGAAGGAUGAGUUUUCUUGAGUGUGUUAUCAUGUUUAUGGUGCAGAAGCCUUGUUAAACUAUUAGUAGGCUUAUCACACUCCCCAUGAUAAGACUCACAACCUCGACGACAGCCUUAUUAGUGUGGGAGAGUAAGCCCCGUAGCGUUGGAGUGUGUGGACCUGUCUUCUGCGGGGCACGUUCAGCUCCCCUGCCGUGCCCCGUUCAGCCAAAACUGUAAAGAUAACCUGAAUAAAGUGUAGCUCGUUCGCGGAGUUUCAAUCAUUACAUUACGAGCUUAACCUGUGAGUAUAUUUCUUUACUGUUUAGACUUUAGGGCUUCGUUAUUCCUAAGCCGUUAUUAAAUAGCUUCUUUACAUCUAGGAGCAGUGAGUAGCGGGCUUUUUUUCACAUUAGUUUCCUUUUUUAUGCCCUUGAACAGAAUCCUCUGCUGUAAAAAAAAAAAAAAACUCCUCAGCCAUUGUUGUUGUUUGCUUCAUAACUAUUUACUUGUUACUAUAUUCUGAGUCUUAUGUGUACGUGUUUCCCAUUUUUCUUCUUCUUGAACCCACAAUACUCAUUUUUAUGGUUAAAUUUAUUCGUGGUACUCUUAAUAUUUCUAUAAAGUUGUGAAGGUUUUUCUUGAUGAUGGUUUUCUUUUUCAGCCUGUCUAACCCAAAACCUUUUCAUUCUGUACUAAUUCAUUUAUUAUCCUGUUUUGGAGGUUUAUCACUUAUUCUUUUGCUAAUUUAGAUUCUGUGUUACUCUACUUAGUUACCCUAGUCCACUUUGUACUUAUUUCUUCGUUAUUCUUUCAUUUUUUUCUUUGUUACUUAUUUUUUUUUGCAACAAAGGAGACAGUUCAAGGGCACAAAAAAUGGAAACAAUAAUAAAAAAAAAGCCCGCUACUCACUGCUCCCAAAAAUAAUCCAAAGUGGCCGAAAGAGAGGUACUUCACUUCUCCACAAUUACAAACUAAGGAGUGAGUGAAUCCUAGAAAAUGUUAAUAGUGCUAACAGAGGAGAGACAAACAACACGUAAACACCGUGAUAAUGUUAUUGGUUCAUUGCACGACGACGGAGGAUAGACAUACAAAAGCUGGACGCGAGGAUGACGAGGCGGACGCGGAUGACGGGUGACUGGCAGCGGUGAGGCGGCGGCUGGUGGCGGGCGAGGCGACCCAAAGCUGAACCAUGCUGUCUGAAGCCCAAACGAGACACAUAAUAGACCUCUAAAUAAGAACACUUCGGUUGUUUUGCUGGUGUUCCAAACGUUAGCCUGUCGUGUGAGUGGACGGGUGGAGGAGGCGAACACACUCCUCGCCCAUUACUCGUUAACACAAAAUCGAUGCCACGUUCAUGAUUUACACUCGGGUCCGCUGCUCACGCUACUGCACAGUGUUUAUGCAGCACCAUGUGUUUACCUCGGUAAUUGUAUAUAAUUGUGUUUACAUUGCAAACCUGAAUGAAGCAAUAAAUGUGGUAAUCAUUCAAUUAAUUAAUCAAUCAGUACAACAAUUCUGUUCUGGAGGAUGCAGUAACGAGCCAACUUGUGCAGAAUCAUAACCCUUGAAAAUAUACAUCUUGCUCAAGUCUUUUUCUGACACCUAACUACUAAAUAAUCGUGAAGACGCUCGCUUCAUCUUAAAUUUUCACGGCGACCAUUUAUAAUCACACAAGGCAAUAACAGAUAUAUCCAUGAUAAAAGCUUCACCGCAGAAAAUGAAAAGAUUGUGUACAAUGUGCCCCGGAGGUCUGCCCGGCCCCUUCAGUGAGGCGGGAGAUUUUUUUUUCCAGUGAUGCUGUAUUUAGGGCCAGUUCGACAGUCCAACACAGGGUCAUUGUAAGCGCCCCAACCAAACUGUCUUCUCCACAAUGGUCCGUUAUUUCUACUUAAUACAUCUAAUGAACUUUCCUGUAGAGUUUCGUAAAAUUUUUUCCUUUUUAUAGCAACGUCAAACACUAUACAAGGAAUUUUCGUCGUAUUUUGUGUUUGGUUGGGGAACUUACAAACUUGCUGUAUUUGACUGUAAAACUGGCCCUUAGUCUUCCUGCUUGGUUGCUGUUGACCCCUCCCCCCGGUGAUCCCUUUGACACCAGCCGCUGCUCAAGGCUUGACGGAAUCGUUGACAUGUAUCGGAUCUUCGGCCACGCGACGCUGGCUGAAAGUCGUCCUCCAACAGCAAUGGGCCUCAAACUUGGGAUCCCGGGAUGCGCACGUUGAACACUCGGCCACCGCCUCACACACCUCUAGACAUACCUAAAUAAAUUACUGGGACAGGUACACACGGAGGGGAGAGAGAAUGAACAGGAUGUAAGACGGAGGGUAAAAAAAUCAAGUCUAUUCACGAGGGAAGGAAGGAAGGAAGGAAGGGCGGGGCAGUGGUGCGCGAGUGUUGUGUUGUGACGACAGGACGACGAAAUACUCCCUAGGCGACGAACAGGUGCGACACGACAAGAGACGCAGGUAAUUACAGGUACGUACGGGAGCGAGUAUGUAAUGGAAUGACUAUUUACGAGAAGGUGAGACUGCAACACUCCGCUACUGGCGCUAACGUCUUGACAAGUGGAAAGUAACACUGUAGUAACACUCGAAUGCAACACCUCUUCCUCACACUAGUACCAGUCUUCCUUUCACGCUGAUGUUUCCAAUCGGUCAGUAACACCACAGAACACCCUGAUGCAAUACUUUCUUCACCCUCACGCCUGAAACACUGGAAUGCAAUACUCUUCUCCACCUCCAACACCCCAAAACAUCACCUCUUGCACCAUAAAACAAUGCAACACCUCAAGCCUUCACAAAACACUGCAACACACACUUCAUUUCACUUAUAUAUCGGAAUUUUUUUCACUCCUACGCACUCAGUAACAUCCACGUGCAGCAAGCAAUACAAAUGAUCACAACAACACUCAAGUCGGGGAAACACACUUGAGCUGAGUUACACAGUGUUGGUGAAUGGAAAAUGUUGCUGCUCUCCACCUUGAAAGACAUAAAAAUCAAACCACAGAUACCAUUAUCUCUCUCUCUCUCUCUCUCUCUCUCUCUCUCUCUCUCUCUCUCUCUCUCUCUCACACACACACACACAUUCCUUUUAUCAGACAUCCACAAAGUCACUUACCCCAUUUACUAUAACUGCUACUACUACUAUCACUACUUCUACUACUAAUAUAUAUAUGUGUUUUACAGACUCUUACGUCAGUUAUAAUAGCCCACUGUAGCUUACUAUUACAACAAGAACAACAAUAACAACAAAGUGAUAACAUUCAAUGAGAAAAAUACUAUUAACAUUAUUGAAGUAUGUACGCAAACUAAAGUGUGUGUGUGUGUGUGUGUGUGUGUGUGUGUCCCUGUUACUCUCGGCUUCAAGGUCAAACGAGUCGAACAUCCCCGGAGCAGUGAAGCAAGUGGUUCAUGGAGUGCUCUCUAGUAAUGAUGUAAGUUCUAAGGUCGGAGUGUUCUUAAGGGAUUUAAAAAGAGUGUAUUCAAUAAAUUUACCAUAAACGUAAUUUCACUAAGCCACUAAAACUUACUCAAUCCGUCGCUAGUACCCAGAAGAGGCGAAGUUGAGCAUUGAGUACUCACGAAACAACCCUUGCGUCGUUUAAACCUAUUCUGGACUCAAGACCUUCCCCGUAACCUUCUUGUGUUCGGUAUUCGCCCAUAAUAACAGUAAUGCAUAGACAAGCCUUGAAGAUAAUGCCUCAGACUCCUUCCCUUACCCUUCCUGUUUAACGAGCUUACUUAAAACGAUGUGAACAGGCCUUUAGAUGCUCCUUUGAUGCCUUUUCUUUUUCAUUUUCCUUUCUUUAAUCGGUGUUCGCCCAUAACAGUAAUGCACAGACAAGCCUUGAAGAUAAUUCCUCAGACUCCUUCCCUUACCCUUCCUCUCUAACGAGCUUACUUGAAGAUAUAUGAACAGGUCUUUAGAUGCUCCUGUGACGCCUUUUCUCUCCAGUAUUCCUUCCUUUUUCAGUAUUCGCCCAUAACAGUAAUGCACAGACAAGCCUUGAAGAUAAUGCCUCACUCCUUCCCUUAUCCUUCCUCUCUAACGAGCUUACUUCAAACGAUGUGAACAGGCCUUUAGACGGUUGUUUGAUACCUUCUCCCUCUCGCAUUCCUUCCUUUUUCGGUAUUCGCCCAUAACAGUAAUGCAUAAACAAGCCUUGAAGAUAUUGCCUCAGACUCCUUUCCUUACCCUUCCUGUCUAGCGUCCUUACUUAAAACGGUGUGAACAGGCCUUUAGACGCUCCUUUGACGCCUUUUCCCUUUCGUAUUCCUUCCUUUAUUCGGCAUUCUCCUAGAACAGUGAUGCACGAACAGGCUUUGUAGAUACUGCCGCAUACUCCUUCCCUUCCCCUUCCGCUCUAACGUACUUACUUGUAACGAUGUGAAAAGGUCUUUAGACGCUUUUUUGGUGCCUUCUUCCUCUCGUAUUUUCACGGACGGGCCACGUAGAUAUUGCCACUCAGUUAUUCCUUCACGCAUCUUUUCUCACGUAUUCAAAAUAACACUAAAAUUCACCUUCUAAAAUCGUCUGACGCCGCCUUAUUAUGAUGCACAGACGCAACACUCAGACUGGCGUUGAUGACAUGACUCGCACGUUCCCAUUUGACACAACACAAAGUCACCCUAAGACGCACGUUCGUUUGAUACCAUUCUUGACAUUAACAGUAUACAACUCUGGCCUUGAUAUUGUCACGGAACUCGUCGUUUACUCCUCCCUCACGUCCUCACUUUAGCUAACACAAACGCCACGUGGGGACCCCUCGCCCCGGGCACCAUCUGGCGGCAGGAAGGUUGUCUCUCGUGUGGGGCAGCGUCCGCCAACACACUCGCUCGUUCAUAGCUUCGGCGUGUCUUGUGGAGGGGUUCGUAGGAUUUAUUUACCCAUAAACUCCUCCCGCGGGACCUACUUACACGUCUCCCACGCCCUCCUCAUAAUUCUAGGGAGUUUAAGUGUGCUCGCCAAUUUGUACGCAACACUCGUCUCGUGGAAAGGUUCGCAUCAUUUACUUCAACUCAUAAACUCCUCCCGCGGCACCUACACGCCUCCCACGCCCUCCUCAUGUUUCUCGGGAGAUUAAGUGUGCUCGCCAAUUUGUACGCAUCACGCCAAUCAAGACCCAUAUCGGAAAAAAAAAACCAUAACUGCUCUAGAGAACUGCACACAGCUAUACAAGUGGAUAACAAAUCUAACCUGAAUUUGAACAUACUUUAAUUUUAUAGCUCAGAUCAGUAUUUCAAGGUAUUAGUUUUCGACUGAUACGAAUACUAAUUGGAACCGCUCGCGUACGCAUUGGCGAAUAUUCCCUUGGUAACACCGACAUCUUUACUUCAUUCAGAACACGAUGGAGACGCUGGAAGGAGCUGCGCCUGAAUUCUGAACGCCGUUAUAGUCUAACUAACAAUAAUGUGGCUGAUUCGUCUUUUUUAACCCGUUUUUUUAAAGGCGUGUUUAUUUGAUUUUGUUAUUUUCUUUUUAUCACUUUUAAAGACCGAGUUUAUAAUAUGCCGACUUAACUCUGAGAAUCCAACAAUUUCAACUCCGUCACAAAAAUCGAAUUGAAAAGCCAAAAUAGCCACGUAACUGCUAAUAAAUACUAAUGCAACUUUUGAAUAACCGGGCCACACUAAAACUUAAUAAACACUACUACAACCUUUAAAAUCUGACGUUUUUUAUUGUCACGUGCACACUUUUGCCUCCUACCGACGAGCCGUGUGGGAGGCAACCUGAACCUGACCACUCGAGGAACCUUUCUUUUUGAGCCUUUAGGAACACGCACUGAGGGAGCUCUCGUCUGUAUUGAUCCUUUUAGGGGGGAACACGACAGACCACGAGCGGAUACGGGGAAAAAUUCUCUGGUAACAUCCUUAAUAUCACCUUGUAGCCCUACCCAGGUGUCUUUAUCCUUAACGUAAUUGCAGGUAAAUGCAUAGAUAGUCGAGGUGAGGUGUGGUCAGCACUGGGUAGACGCAAGUGUCGCCCCCUGACUUUGUGAUUUAAGAGUCUGAGGAUGGCAGCUGAUGGUGAGCGGUGACGCCGAUGAAGGUAAUGAACAGAAUCUAUUUUACCGUCUGACUUGUGUAAAGGAAGAGUCAUUUGAGGAGUUUGGAAGGAAGUUAACGAUGAAUGAUGAUGAUAAUGAAAGAUAUAUAAAUUGAAUGUCGUUACACCGUCUAACUUGUGUAAAGGAGGAGUUGCGAGGAAACUAACAAACAGUGAUGAUAAUAAUGAAUGAUAUAUAACUUGGAUCCAGCUGAGUGUGUAGGGAGAGGCACACAAUCAUGACUCCCCCUUUCUCUUUCUUACUCGCUACUUCGUUUUGAGUGAAAGAAAACUUAAAAUGGUUAUCCACAAAUUUUCUUUAUAUACCCAUUUCUCGCGACUUCCAAGCACCGUUGCCAGAUUGUCGUACUCAGAGCAUAGUAUUUACCUGUUUCUGACGCCUAACUAUUGCCAAGAAACAUGAGAAUCUAACUCUUUUAACGAUAACUAUAAAUUAGUUUCCUUAUUGGAGCCCAGAAGACAGUUUAUGGGUAGGAAGUCGGGAAAUAUAAUCGGCUGAGUACGACAAUCUGGCAACGUUGCUUCCAAGACCCGCCGUUCCUCCCCUCUCAAAACACAUGUAUAUACGACACUGGUUAAAUCCCGGAUGACACUGAAGCGUACAGAGUGAGGUUCAUAUAUUCUUUUAAACGUAUCAGGCACCGUUGUCAGAUUAUCGUACUCUGAGCAUCACAUUUACCAGAAUCUCCCCAAUAAAUAUCACCAGGAAACAGGAAUAAUAAAUCAUUUCAACAAUAACCUCAAAUAAAUCUCGUUAUUGUGGUCCAGGAAAGAGUUUUUGGGAUGGAAAUCGGGAAAUAUGAGAAACUGAGUACGACAAUCUAGCAACGUUGGUAGUAUAUCGGGUUCCCAUUACGACCAUGUUGCAAGGCCACGGAGAAGAUUAACCAGGUUUUAAUGGGUGGCUUUCCUAUUCCUGGUGCAGAAGUUGUGUAAAACUAUCACCAGGAUCGCAAUACAGUCCAUGAAAAUCCCAGAACUUCCACGAGAGGCUUUUCAAACAGACGUAUACUACCGUUCCCAGAUUGUCGUACUCAGAGCAUAGUAUUUACUGGUUUCUGACGCUUAACUAUUGCCAAGAAACAUCAGGAAUUAACUAUUUUAACGAUAGUUAUACGUGAAUCUCCUUAUUGGGGUCCACGAGACAGUUUUUGGGUCGUAAGUCGGUAAAUAUAAAAGGCUGAGUAAGACAGUCUGGCAACUUUGCCGUAUACUGAGGCGUCGAUACAUUUAUGAACACAAGCUGGAGUCAUUUCCGGAGGAGGAUGUGGACGAGGAGAGUAAUGAAGGUGGUGGGUGAUAAGUGCGUCCCAUCCUGACUCAGCAACGCACAGUGAUGAGUCUCGGGAAAUGCAGCGGAUGAGGAGAGCAAGUUCACUGAGGAGGGUAAUGAAGAUAGUGGGUGAUAAGUGCAUCCCAUCCUGACUCAGCAACGUAGUACAGUGAUGAGUCUCGGGGAAGGCAGAGGGUGAGGAGAGGAAGCAAGUUCA
Molecule: long non-coding RNA, 10660 nt
Organism: Eriocheir sinensis (Chinese mitten crab)
Lineage: Eukaryota; Metazoa; Arthropoda; Malacostraca; Decapoda; Varunidae
Exons: 2
Source: RefSeq, a predicted model, not a curated record